RNAcentral lists this long non-coding RNA (1316 nucleotides) under Homo sapiens (human). RNAcentral describes it as "AHI1 divergent transcript". Lineage: Eukaryota; Metazoa; Chordata; Mammalia; Primates; Hominidae. The record is from RNAcentral.
GCCGUUCCCAUGGCGACCGAUGCGUCCCGCGCUCUAGGCGAAGACCGCGGCCCCGUCCCCGCGCCUCCACCGCCUUCUUCCAGGAGGAGGGGCCGUGCGGCGCCUGCCCGGGGGCCCUCAGGCCGCAGGCGGGCGCGAGCUUCAGGGAACUUAGGGGGCUCCCGCCUCCCCGGCCACGCGAGCGGGAACAGUCUCCUCCACUCGGAGCGCCACUCAUCAUGCCUUACCUGGAUGAUGCAGAAGUCCCUGGAAACAGAAGGUCUCACCCUUCUUUAUCUUUCUCAUGGCUUUCCAAGGCUCUUUAUCAUGUUACUUUCCUGCUCAGAAUUCUUUAAUGACUUGCCUCAAUGACCAGAUACAUGUGAUCUACAGUCAGCCUUCCAGCCUCAUCAUUCCUCUUCCAUUUCCUCCCCAGAAACACUGUACUUUAUGAAGCUCCUCCAAGACAUUAUAGAUCCAGACUCCUGUGCCUGACCACUGCCCAUGGCCAACUCUCUGCUGAUGACUGGACUUGACUACACAAGUUGUUGGCCAUCUUAAAACCACUCAAAGUUGACGGUCUCCUCUCCUGCCUCCUGCGGCUUCCAUUACCAUGGCAGAGACUGUGGUGUCUGAGGUGGUGUAGCGUACUGAAGCAAGGCUGUCUUGAAGAAGAGGAGACAACUCACAAUUCUACCACCUUUGUUGACCUCUUCUUCCCCCCAACUUAUUGCUGUAGAGGCUACCUGAGCUCAUUGUCCCUGGAGAUGGACCAAAUAGAAGAAUAAGCAGUGCCUGUGUGGUGGAAAGCUCUGUACACAAUGAUUAAGACUUAUUCCUGGGCCCCAACUACAGAAGAUAAGAGGGCAUAGGAAAAGUUUUUCCUCUCUACAAGCCAAAAGUCGCAAGGCUAAUAUUUACUCCCCUGAUUCUCUCCUCCAGAGCCCACACCCUUCAUCACUACUGAUAAAGUUUCAAAUAUGUUUUUCAAAUCUGGCAUUCAUGGUUGCUACUGCACUGGAAUAAUGGUAACAACAGGCUGAUGAGAAUCUUAAGUGGCACUUACUCAGUGGAGUAAUUGGAAGCGGCAAUGGUUAUACAAAUGAAUGCCCCUCAGAGGGAAGAAGGAGAGAUUUGCCUUGAAACUGCGGCUGUAAAAAGUUAGUGCUGGUAAGUGAAGAAACAGAAACUAAGUGAUAGAGAAUGGGAACUAAGGUAGAAAUAACUAACAAAGAUCACUGUGCAGAACCGUAGUGGUGUUCAGAGUAGAUGCGCAAGUCCAUAUGCAUGUAGCAAAUACAAGUCUCAACCCACAAAAUAAAGUGAAGAUGAAUAUA